Molecule: long non-coding RNA, 316 nt
Filed under: Trifolium pratense (red clover)
Lineage: Eukaryota; Viridiplantae; Streptophyta; Magnoliopsida; Fabales; Fabaceae
Description: long non-coding RNA (TPRA_LNC011806)
Source: RNAcentral
CAUCUCCUUCACCUCCCCCUCCAUAUAUUUAUAAAUCUCCACCACCACCUUCUCCUUCACCUCCUCCACCAUAUUUCUACAAGUCUCCCCCACCUCCUUCACCUUCACCACCUCCUCCAUACUACUACAAAUCUCCUCCUCCACCUUCCCCAUCACCUCCUCCACCAUAUGUCUACAAGUCUCCUCCACCUCCUCCACCUUCACCACCUCCUCCUUAUAUUUACAAAUCCCCACCACCACCAUCUUCAUCACCUCCUCCAUAUCAUCCCUACCUCUACAACUCACCCCCACCUCCCAUUUAUUAAGCUUACGGCUA